CCUACGGGGGCGCAGCAGGCGCGAAACCUUUACACUGCACGCCAGUGCGAUAAGGGGAUCCGAGUGCGCAGGCAUAGAGCCUGCGCUUUUCUGAACCCGUAGGAAGGGUUCAGGAACAAGAGCUGGGCAAGACCGGUGCCAGCCGCCGCGGUAAUACCGGCAGCUCGAGUGAUGGCCGAUCUUAUUGGGCCUAAAGCGUCCGUAGCUGGCCUUGCAAGUCCGUCGGGAAAUCCACCCGCUCAACGGGUGGGCGUCCGGCGGAAACUGUGAGGCUUGGGACCGGGAGGCUUGAAGGGUACGUCCGGGGUAGGAGUGAAAUCCCGUAAUCCUGGACGGACCGCCGAUGGGGAAACCACUUCAAGAGAACGGAUCCGACAGUGAGGGACGAAAGCUAGGGUCUCGAACCGGAUUAGAUACCCGGGUAGUCCUAGCUGUAAACGAUGCCUGUUAGGUGUGACUCCCACUACGAGUGGGUGUUGUGCCGUAGGGAAGCCGCUAAACAGGCCGCCUGGGAAGUACGUCUGCAAGGAUGAAACUUAAAGGAAUUGGCGGGGGAGCACUACAACCGGAGGAGCCUGCGGUUUAAUUGGACUCAACGCCGGACAUCUCACCAGCAUCGACUGUGGUAAUGACGGUCAGGUUGAUGACCUUGCCCGAGCCACAGAGAGGAGGUGCAUGGCCGCCGUCAGCUCGUACCGUGAGGCGUCCUGUUAAGUCAGGCAACGAGCGAGACCCGCAUCCUUACUUGCCAGCAGCACCGCGAGGUGGCUGGGGACAGUAGGGAGACCGCCGUGGCUAACACGGAGGAAGGAACGGGCAACGGUAGGUCAGUAUGCCCCGAAUAUGCUGGGCAACACGCGGGCUACAAUGGUCGAGACAAUGGGUUCCAACGCCGAGAGGCGACGGUAAUCUCAGAAACUCGGUCGUAGUUCGGAUUGUGGACUGAAACUCGUCCACAUGAAGCUGGAUUCGGUAGUAAUCGCGUGUCAGAAGCGCGCGGUGAAUACGUCCCUGCUCCUUGCACACACCGCCCGUCAAAGCACCCGAGUGAGGUCCGGAUGAGGCUCCCGAGAGGGAGUCGAA
This 1083-nucleotide ribosomal RNA is filed under the name uncultured archaeon. Its description in RNAcentral is "bacterial SSU rRNA". It matches the Rfam family "Archaeal small subunit ribosomal RNA", at positions 322 to 1407 of the family's 1478-position model. The record is from RNAcentral.